Molecule: long non-coding RNA, 1444 nt
Filed under: Oryctolagus cuniculus (rabbit)
Lineage: Eukaryota; Metazoa; Chordata; Mammalia; Lagomorpha; Leporidae
Description: lncRNA (ENSOCUG00000029960.1)
Source: RNAcentral
AUGGGGACUUCCCGGGGCGGGACUGACUGCGGUCCCCCAAGCCCUCUGUGUCCCCAGUGGCUCCCGCGUCCCUCAGCAGAGCGGGGCAGGAGGUGUCCAUGGCGGCUCCUGGACCAAGGUGAGAAGGCUGUCAGGUGGGACAGGUGCUGUCUGCACGGGGGAGGGAGAAAGGGUUGUUACUGUGAGAUUCAGCCUGCGGGGGACUUUCAUCUGUGGGGCCUCAGUGUGCAGGGGAGGUGCAGUGGCAGUGCGGGCCCCUCUGUCCUGUGCACAGGUAACUACUGCCCAGUAAGGGCGGCUCUACAAGGUUUAAGACCCAAAGAAGCCCAGAAACUCGAUCUGCACCAGCAAGAAGACUUCCUGUGGAAGGACCUCUUGAAGGUCUCCCCAUCUUCCACGGGAAGACGGACUCCAAGACUUCCAGCCUCAGAAUCCUUGCCCUAGUGGUCUCCAGGAGUAGAGUGUCCUUCUUCUUCGCUCUCCCAAGGACAGGACCCCGAGCUUCUCUCCCUGCCCCCAGGUCACCACGAGCAUCCACGGGAAGAUGGACUCCGAGACGCCCAGCUCAGUAUCCUCGCCCUUCCUGAAGAGGUGUUGAAUGUACCUCGUCCUCGCUGCCCCCAGACAGGACCCUGUGGCUUCUCUGGCUGCCCCCAGGAGAAACGAUCAACCACCAUGAGAAGGACUCCAACACCCCAUCUUCAGAAUCCUCGCCCUUCCAGAAGAGGUGUUGAAUGUCCCUCAUCCUCACUGCCCCCUGAACAGGACCUCGUGGCUUCUCUGGCUGCCCAGAGGUCACCACGAUCAUCCUAAGGAAAAUGAACUUGGACAUGCCCUGACUCAGAAUCCUCGCCCUUCCCGAAGAGGUGUUGAAUGUCCCUCGUCCUCGCUGCCCCAAGGACAGGACUCUGUGGCUCCUCCGUCCCCGGGGAGCAGCUGCUGCCUGGGAAGAACCUCGUUGCCUCUGUUGCUGCCCAUGGAUUGCCCUGCACUACUGCCUCUGUGCCUGCAAGUUAACUGAUUUAUGAGUUUAAGAGAAAUCCAUUAGGUCAUAAAUUUGUGGCUGGAGAAACAUGAAGGCCUCAGUGUGGGUUCGGGCACCUGUGCUCACACACCGGGGAGGGGAGCGCUGGGAGCCUGAAGGAGGCAGCUUGGAGCUGCACCCAGGGCCUGGGCUGAGUCCUGGCUUCAGUGCCCAAGGCUGGCACUGCCUUGGUUUCCCACCCCCGGGGCUCUGUUUCUGGCUCUGUCAAGGGGGUGUGAGUGACAGGAGCACCUGCCUCCAAGGAAGCCCCCGGAACAGCACCAGACUCCCCUGGCUGCUGGGUAGGGCUGGGUCCUUAGAAGCGAUUAGCUGCCUGGGCGGGGAUCUGGGAGCUGUCAGCCAUCUGUGGGUCCUGGGCCGUGUGGGAGCUGGCUCCUUCCUGUGACCCCACUGGCCUUU